AUUCUACCUGCAGAGUAAUGAAUGGAGAUACUGUGCUUGCAUGCAUCUGAAGAAUGAACAUGCAGUAGAGGCAUCAUGCGUGCGCGCGCACUCGCUCCUGCCGCGUGACGUCAGCGCGCUGGGCGGGGCGCUGUCCGAGGUGCUUCUGCUCCUCGCUGGGAGAGGGAGAUAGCGAGGGAGUGCGCGCGCGCGCUGGCGAGGGACAGCUCCUGCUCAUCUUCUGCUCAUCUCCUGCUCCACCGGGACCAUGGCACCCUCACCCCCGGUCCUCGCGCUCCUCCUGGCCGGGCACGCGCUCGGCGUCGCCGCCGCCGCGCUCCGGACGAUACGAUACGGUUGUCUCUUUGAAGAUGAUUUAUGCGAGCCGUAUGAAGUUUGCGCUAACGACUUUGUGAACCGCCCUGCUCGAGAUCCACCCCCACCCCCCCCCACUCCACACAAAUCUCCCGUCCAAUUAUAGAGCGUUCCACAUGAUUAGAAAU
Molecule: long non-coding RNA, 482 nt
Filed under: Astyanax mexicanus (Mexican tetra)
Lineage: Eukaryota; Metazoa; Chordata; Actinopteri; Characiformes; Acestrorhamphidae
Description: lncRNA (ENSAMXG00005011600.1)
Source: RNAcentral